Molecule: ribosomal RNA, 253 nt
Filed under: uncultured bacterium
Lineage: Bacteria
Description: partial 16S ribosomal RNA
Rfam family: Bacterial small subunit ribosomal RNA
Source: RNAcentral
UACAGAGGGGGCAAGCGUUAUUCGGAAUUAUUGGGCGUAAAGGGCGCGUAGGCGGCCUGGCAAGUGGAAGGUGAAAUCCCUCGGCUUAACCGAGGAACUGCCCUCCAAACUGCUUGGCUUGAGUCCGGGAGAGGUGAGUGGAAUUCCCAGUGUAGCGGUGAAAUGCGUAGAUAUCAAGAGGAACACCUGCGGCGAAGGCGGGUUGCUGGGCCGACACUGACGCUGAGGCGCGAAAGCCAGGGGAGCGAACGGG